GUUUUUGUAGUGUAACAUGGUUAGCAUAUCUGGUUAGUAAUUAAAAAAUCCAUGGAUCAAAUCCCUGCGAAGAUA
Molecule: transfer RNA, 75 nt
Filed under: Stegodyphus mimosarum
Lineage: Eukaryota; Metazoa; Arthropoda; Arachnida; Araneae; Eresidae
Rfam family: tRNA
About the family: Transfer RNA (tRNA) molecules are approximately 80 nucleotides in length. Their secondary structure includes four short double-helical elements and three loops (D, anti-codon, and T loops).
Source: Rfam by way of RNAcentral